This 474-nucleotide ribosomal RNA is filed under the name uncultured organism. RNAcentral's name for it is "partial 16S ribosomal RNA". It matches the Rfam family "Bacterial small subunit ribosomal RNA", at positions 335 to 800 of the family's 1533-position model. The record is from RNAcentral.
ACUCCUACGGGAGGCAGCAGUGGGGAAUUUUGGACAAUGGGCGAAAGCCUGAUCCAGCAAUGCCGCGUGCAGGAUGAAGGCCUUCGGGUUGUAAACUGCUUUUGUACGGAACGAAAAAGCUCCUUCUAAUACAGGGGGCCCAUGACGGUACCGUAAGAAUAAGCACCGGCUAACUACGUGCCAGCAGCCGCGGUAAUACGUAGGGUGCGAGCGUUAAUCGGAAUUACUGGGCGUAAAGCGUGCGCAGGCGGUUAUGUAAGACAGAUGUGAAAUCCCCGGGCUCAACCUGGGAACUGCAUUUGUGACUGCAUGGCUAGAGUACGGUAGAGGGGGAUGGAAUUCCGCGUGUAGCAGUGAAAUGCGUAGAUAUGCGGAGGAACACCGAUGGCGAAGGCAAUCCCCUGGACCUGUACUGACGCUCAUGCACGAAAGCGUGGGGAGCAAACAGGAUUAGAAACCCGGGUAGUCCCAUGA